Molecule: ribosomal RNA, 497 nt
Filed under: uncultured bacterium
Lineage: Bacteria
Description: partial 16S ribosomal RNA
Rfam family: Bacterial small subunit ribosomal RNA
Source: RNAcentral
GAUGAACGCUGGCGGCGUGCCUAAUACAUGCCAGUCGAGCGAACAGACGAGGAUCUUGCUCCUCUGACGUUAGCGGCGGACGGGUGAGUAACACGUGGAUAACCUACCUAUAAGACUGGGAUAACUUCGGGAAACCGGAGCAAAUACCGGGUAAUAUAUUUAACCGCAUGGGUCAAUAAUGAAAGACGGUUUUGCUGUCACUUAUAGAUGGAUCCGCGCCGCGUUGGGUAGUUGGUAAGGUAACGGCUUACCAAGGCAACGAUGGGUAGCCGAGCCGAGAGGGGGAAGGCCCCCUGUGGGACUGAGCGACCGCACAGGCUCUUACGGGCGGCAGCAGCAGCGAAGGGUCCGAACUGGGCGAAAUCUUGCCGGAGGAACGCCGCGUGGGUGCUGAAGGUCCUCGGAUCGUAAAACUCUGUUAUUAGGGAAGAACAAAUGUGUAAGUAACUAUGCACGGCUUGACGGUAGCUAAUCAGAAAGCCACGGCUAACUACGUG